GACGAACGCUGGCGGCGUGCUUAACACAUGCAAGUCGAACGGUGAAGCGCCUUCCUUUUUGGUGGGUGUGGAUGAGUGGCGAACGGGUGAGUAACACGUUAGUAACCUGCCCCCUUCUUCUGGAUAACCGCAUGAAAGUGUGGCUAUUACGGGAUAUUCUGGGUCUGUCGCAUGAUGGGUCUGGGCAAGAUAUUGUUUCGGUGGGUGAUGUGCUCGCGGCCUAUCAGCUUGUUGGUGGGGUGAUGGCCUACCAAGGCGGUGACGGGAAGCCGGCCUGAGAGGGUGGACGGUCACACUGGGAGUGAGACACGGCACAGACUCAUGCGAGAGGCAGCAGUGGGAAAUAUUGCACAAUGGGAGAAAGCGUGAUGCAGAGACGGCGCGUGAGAGAUGGAGGCCUUCGGGUUGUGAACCUCUUUCGCCAGUGAAGCAGGCCUGCCUCGUUUGUGGGUGGGUUGACGGUAGCUGGAAAAGAAGCGCCGGCUAAAUACGUG
This 494-nucleotide ribosomal RNA is filed under the name uncultured bacterium. RNAcentral describes it as "partial 16S ribosomal RNA". It matches the Rfam family "Bacterial small subunit ribosomal RNA", at positions 28 to 507 of the family's 1533-position model. The record is from RNAcentral.